UUUAGGUUUAACAAAUUUGUUUUAGACUCUAAUUUUAUUAUUUUGUGUUUAAGUGAAUAUUAAUAAUUUUCAAGUGAUUUAAUUUCUAACUUUUUUUCUCUCUUCUUUUACUUGUUAAAUCUUCAAUUCCAUUUGGUUUGAUGCAAUUUUUUCUCAGACCAUAACCGUUUCGAUGGUACUUGUAAUAUAAUGCUUAAAUAAAAAAGGGUUCAGUCAUUAUAGUAUUAAAUGUAGCAAUCAAUUAUUCUAACUAUCUCUCGGGUGUUGUUCCCUCCACCACCCCUUGCUCCCUCCACCUCUUCAUUCCUGAUUUACUCCUUUCUUUUCACUUUUCUAUUCUUGUUUUAUCCUUCAAUAUAAUUUUAUUUUUAGGGUUAAUAUUUUUUAACUUUUAUCCACUCCAAUCCUUUAAUGUGAUGGUAUAGUUUAUGUUUAACUAACAUGCGUUAUUGGCAAUUUUGCUGUUUCUUUCUCUCUUCGAUCUCAUUACCCAAACAACACAACCAUUUUAAUGGUGGACGUGGAUCCAUGUUUCUAUGUUUCAUUUUCUUCUUUCUCUGUUUUUUACGCUUCUUUCGAUUGUUGUCUCUUUUGAACUUUCUGAUUGUUUAUCUUACCCAC
Molecule: long non-coding RNA, 621 nt
Filed under: Vigna radiata
Lineage: Eukaryota; Viridiplantae; Streptophyta; Magnoliopsida; Fabales; Fabaceae
Description: long non-coding RNA (VRAD_LNC009058)
Source: RNAcentral